UGCCAGCCGCCGCGGUAACACGUAAGUUGCAAGCGUUGUUCGGAAUUACUGGGCGUAAAGCGCACGUAGGCGGAUUAGUAAGUUAGGGGUGAAAUCCCGGGGCUCAACCCCGGAACUGCCUCUAAUACUGCUAGUCUUGAGUUUGGGAGGGGUAAGCGGAAUUUCGUGUGUAGCAGUGAAAUGCGUAGAUAUACGGAGGAACACCUGAGGCGAAGGCGGCUUACUGGACCAAUACUGACACUGAGGAUCGAAAGCGUGGGUAGCAAACAGGAUUAGAUA
This 279-nucleotide ribosomal RNA is filed under the name uncultured bacterium. RNAcentral describes it as "partial 16S ribosomal RNA". It matches the Rfam family "Bacterial small subunit ribosomal RNA", at positions 506 to 784 of the family's 1533-position model. The record is from RNAcentral.